Molecule: ribosomal RNA, 477 nt
Filed under: uncultured bacterium
Lineage: Bacteria
Description: partial 16S ribosomal RNA
Rfam family: Bacterial small subunit ribosomal RNA
Source: RNAcentral
GAUUAACGCUGGCGGCGUGCAUAACACAUGCGAGUCGAACGAUGAAACUUUAAUGAACCCUUCGGGGAGAAUUAAAGCGGAUUAGUGGCGAACGGGUGAGUAACGCGUGAGUAACCUGCCUUACACAAGGGGAUAGCCUUUGGAAACGAAGAAUAAUACCCUAUAAAACCAUAAAAGCACAUGCAAUUAUGGUCAAAGUGAUAGCGGUGUAAGAUGGACUUGCGUCUGAUUAGCUAGUUGGUGAGAUAAAAGCCCACCAAGGCAACGAUCAGUAGCCGGCUUGAGAGAGUGUACGGCCACAUUGGGACUGAGACACGGCCCAGACUCCUACGGGAGGCAGCAGUGGGGAAUUUUGCACAAUGGGGGAAACCCUGAUGCAGCGACGCCGCGUGAUUUAGAAGGCCUUCGGGUUGUAAAAAUCUUUUGUAUAGGAAGAAAAUGACAGUACUAUACGAAUAAGGUCCGGCUAAUUACGUG